Molecule: ribosomal RNA, 207 nt
Filed under: uncultured bacterium
Lineage: Bacteria
Description: partial 16S ribosomal RNA
Rfam family: Bacterial small subunit ribosomal RNA
Source: RNAcentral
CUCGUAGGCGGUCUGUCGCGUCGGGAGUGAAAACACGGGGCUUAACUCCGUGCCUGCUUCCGAUACGGGCUGACUAGAGGUAUGCAGGGGAGAACGGAAUUCCUGGUGUAGCGGUGAAAUGCGCAGAUAUCAGGAGGAACACCGGUGGCGAAGGCGGUUCUCUGGGCAUUACCUGACGCUGAGGAGCGAAAGUGUGGGGAGCGAACA